This 481-nucleotide ribosomal RNA is filed under the name uncultured bacterium. RNAcentral's name for it is "partial 16S ribosomal RNA". It matches the Rfam family "Bacterial small subunit ribosomal RNA", at positions 28 to 507 of the family's 1533-position model. The record is from RNAcentral.
GAUGAACGCUGGCGGCGUGCUUAACACAUGCAAGUCGAACGAAGCACUUUAUUUGAUUUCCUUCGGGACUGAUUAUUUUGUGACUGAGUGGCGGACGGGUGAGUAACGCGUGGGUAACCUGCCUUGUACAGGGGGAUAACAGUUGGAAACGGCUGCUAAUACCGCAUAAGCGCACGGCAUCGCAUGAUGCGGUGUGAAAAACUCCGGUGGUAUAAGAUGGACCCGCGUUGGAUUAGCUAGUUGGUGAGGUAACGGCACACCAAGGCGACGAUCCAUACCCGACCUGGGAGGGGGACCGGCCACAUUGGGACUGAGACACGGCCCAAACUCCUACGGGAGGCAGCAGUGGGGAAUAUUGCACAAUGGGCGAAAGCCUGAUGCAGCGACGCCGCGUGAGCGAAGCAGUAUUUCGGUAUGUAAAGCUCUAUCAGCAGAGAAGAUAAUGACGGUACCUGACUAAGAAGCACCGGCUAAAUACGUG